Molecule: small RNA, 124 nt
Filed under: Marmota monax (woodchuck)
Lineage: Eukaryota; Metazoa; Chordata; Mammalia; Rodentia; Sciuridae
Source: RNAcentral
GCCAGGUGUGGUAGCACACACCUGUAAUCCCAGCAGCUCAGAGGCUGAGGCAGGAGGAUCGCGGAUUCAAAACCAGCCUCAGUAAUGGUGAGGCGCUAAGCAACUCAGUGAGUCCCUGUCUCUA